UAAGAAGGGGGCUAGCGUUGUUCGGCAUUACUGGGCGUAACGCGCACGUAGGCGGAUAUUUAAGUCAGGGGUGAAAUCCCGCAGCUCAACUGCGGAACUGCCUUUGAUACUGGGUAUCUCGAGUAUGGAAGAGGUGAGUGGAAUUCCGAGUGUAGAGGUGAAAUUCGUAGAUAUUCGGAGGAACACCAGUGGCGAAGGCGGCUCACUGGUCCAUUACUGACGCGGAGGUGCGAAAGCGGGGGGAGCACACAGGAUUCGAUAACAGCGUAGUCC
RNAcentral lists this ribosomal RNA (273 nucleotides) under uncultured bacterium. RNAcentral's name for it is "partial 16S ribosomal RNA". It matches the Rfam family "Bacterial small subunit ribosomal RNA", at positions 524 to 796 of the family's 1533-position model. The record is from RNAcentral.